Anarrhichthys ocellatus (wolf-eel) is the source of this 2688-nucleotide RNA transcript. It is a transcript of the gene named small nuclear ribonucleoprotein 25, with no coding region annotated. The record is from RefSeq and is a predicted model, not a curated record. The transcript is spliced from 7 exons. Lineage: Eukaryota; Metazoa; Chordata; Actinopteri; Perciformes; Anarhichadidae.
CUGUUUGUUGGAUAACGUGAUGAUGGAGAAGCAGAGUCAGGACACUGUUGGAGGAGGACUGUCUGUAAAGGAUGAAGAGGCGGGAAACGAGAACCUGACAGAGAUGGCAUCCUUAGACGCAGAGGAGGAAGAUGAGGAAGAUGAGGAGGCUCUUCCUCACUCAGAGAUCUUGGAUAUUUUCGAGGAGGGACUUGCUCGACUUGUGCAAGACCCUUUACUCUGUGAUCUGCCAAUUCAGGUGACUCUGGAGGAGGUCAAUUCUCAGAUUGCUUUGGAGUAUGGCCAAGCGAUGACUGUGAGGGUUGUAAAGGCAGAUGGAGAGAUAAUGCCCAUAGUGGUGGUGCAAAAUGCCACUGUCCUUGAUCUGAAGAAGGCCAUUCGCAGAUUCAUGGAGCUGAAACAACAACGCGAAGGUGGAGUUAAACAUGUCAGCUGGAGAUAUGUUUGGAGAACGUAUCAGUUAAUUUUUCAAGGGGAAAAGCUUGAAGAUGACAAGAUGAGACUUAAAGACUACGGGAUCAGGAACAGAGAUGAAGUGACAUUUAUGAAGAGACUCAGGAAAAAAUGAAAUGUCACAGCCAACGUUUGUCACGUCAGGAAAAUACACCAGGUCCCUGUGUGUACUGGUUCUACUUGCCCCGCAGACUGGAAAUGACUUUCACAAAGUGAUGAUUGUUUUGGGGCAUAUCUUGAGCACAUUACAAACUGAUCAAGUCACUCAAAGAGGGUCCAUGUAAAUAAGAUAUCUGGAGAUGUUAAGCCCCCAUUUUACUGACAAGUGUGGCAUGAUUUUGUAUAGUUGUCUGCAAACUUUAAAACAUAUUAAAGUAUUUUUUUUAUUUUGUGUUUGUGUUUUACUUGCAUCUCGACAAGAGCAUUCUGUUACAUUUCCAGAGAAGGCAGUUGUAACCCAAUGAUUUGAAUAUUUCCUGGUAUAAGUGAACAGUGCAUGGCCUUGUUGACCUCGUUUGAAUGUUACCUGUACAGGAUCCACUUGGAGCAGCUGAGUAAAUACGGUAAUACACAUCGUUUCUCUUUGACAUAAUCUAUUUAAUACAGUUUAAAUGGGACUUAAUGGAGUCAGUAGUUUAGAUGUUUGAGUAAUGUUUUUUGACUUAAGUUAGUUAUGAGCUUGAGAUUUGUGUCACUUGUUACUUUGACAACUAAUUUCAGCAUUUUAUCUAGUCUAAAUUAUUAUUGUUGGUGCUUUUGCUCACUCGAACCAGGAUGAGUUUAAUAGAUUUCUUUAUUUUCCCAAAGCUCUCUUUAUUGUUUAUUAUUUCUUGGAGGAAAAGCAGAGUUUCACUUAAUAUUUUUUAAGUUUCAUUACCAACCAUCUUAAAAUGCAUUUUUAAAGCAUGGCUUUAAUUUAAGACUCGAUAUAAAUAGAGUAAAGGUAGAGUGGACAGUGAGUGAGGCAAUUGAUGGCAAUAACUAGUUUAUUGUAAAUGUGUCCUUUAGUGCAACACUGUUGACCACCCACUCACUAUUUUAUCAAAAUACUUGUUCAGCCAUAAAUGGAUAACACGGCAGGCAUACAUUUAUGCAGGUAUGUGUGUUAUUUAUUUAUUUUGUUUUUGUGUUUAUUCAGGGACGUUACACUGAGAGUAAGCUUGUCAUUUACAGGAACACCCUGAUCACAUUCACACAUUUGCAUCUGGAAGCUGCCCAGUGUAACCAGUCUGAUCUGCUAGCAACAGAGUAGCUCCUCUAGCGGUUAGGGCAUAGGGCCUUGCUCAAGGGCAUCUGUGGCUUCUCCACCCAGAUUUAUCCUGCCAGUCCGGAGAUUAAACCAACGACCUCAAGGUUGUUUCACAAGCUCCCUUCGCUAAACUUUACGCUACCAGUUGCCCAAGUAUGAAACAUUUUUCACACUAAACGAGCCUAUACAGUCAACCAAAUAUCAAACCUAAAAAUAAUCCAACAAGUCCCUGUCUUUUCAGCAUUUCCACCAUGACUUCUUCAGACAGCGACCUUCAAAACAUAUUGACCGAGUUGAACCAUCUUUCACUCAAGAGACAACAACUUAUGGAAAGGAGAAAAAUCCAGUGCAUAUUUCAGGAGAUGAGGAAUCGUGCAGAAUUUGGAGAAACAGAGGCGGCAGCCUCAAAUCUGCAUGAGAUUGACAACAUUGAUGACAAACUGAAACAACUGACAGAAAGGAAGGCAGAGCUCCAAAUACUCCACGAUAACAUCCUAAAUGCCAAAGACAUGACGAAUGGCAAGAAAGGUGAGUCCAAUGAUGCCGAAGACAUGAAGAAUGGCAAGAAAGGUGAGUCCAAUGAAGCCGAAGACAUGAAGAAUGGCAAGAAAGGUGAGUCCAAUGAUGCCGAAGACAUGAAGAAUGGCAAGAAAGCUGAAUCCAAAUUUACUGGCAGCAUGUCAUUACUUCACUACUCAAUAUUUUGGUUUUGUAACAACCCCAUUCUUUUUUGUUAGAGGUUAGCAUCUCCUCCCGUCAGAUUGUGCCCGAUGUUCCUGAUCCUCGCUCCGAUAUUUUCUAUGUUAAGGGUCCACCUAACAUCCCCGCCCCUACGGUGAUUCUGGACAUGAAAAAACUUCCAGCAUGUCCAUGCAGGACACAGUGUCCUGAGUGUAAGCAGUUCAUAAUGACAGAGACUGUUACUUCCAUCAGCAGUGUCACCUGGAUGAUGUGCUUCAUGAUAGCUUCGUUUGGGUAGGAAAAUA